GACGAACGCUGGCGGCGUGCUUAACACAUGCAAGUCGAACGGAAAGGCCCUGCUUUUGUGGGGUGCUCGAGUGGCGAACGGGUGAGUAACACGUGAGUAACCUGCCCUUGACUUUGGGAUAACUUCAGGAAACUGGGGCUAAUACCGGAUAGGAGCUCCUGCUGCAUGGUGGGGGUUGGAAAGUUGCGGGGGUUGGGGAUGGACUCGCGGCUUGUCAGCUUGUUGGUGGGGUAGUGGCUUACCAAGGGUUUGACGGGUAGGCGGCCUGGGAGGGUGACCGGGGACAUUGGGACUGGGGUGCGGCCGGGGCUCCUACGGGAGGCAGCAGUGGGGAAUGUUGCACAAUGGGCGGAAGCCUGAUGCAGCAACGCCGCGUGCGUGAUGACGGCCUUCGGUUUGUAAACCGCUUUCGCCUGUGACGAAGCGGGAGUGACGGUAAUGGGUAAAGAAGCACCGGCUAACUACGUG
RNAcentral lists this ribosomal RNA (468 nucleotides) under uncultured bacterium. RNAcentral's name for it is "partial 16S ribosomal RNA". It matches the Rfam family "Bacterial small subunit ribosomal RNA", at positions 28 to 507 of the family's 1533-position model. The record is from RNAcentral.